UACGAAGGGGGCGAGCGUUGCUCGGAAUCACUGGGCGUAAAGGGUGCGUAGGCGGGGUUUUAAGUCAGGGGGGAAAUCCUGGAGCUCAACUCCAGAACUGCCUUUGAUACUGAAGAUCUUGAGUUCGGGAGAGGUGAGUGGAACUGCGAGUGUAGAGGUGAAAUUCGUAGAUAUUCGCAAGAACACCAGUGGCGAAGGCGGCUCACUGGCCCGAUACUGACGCUGAGGCACGAAAGCGUGGGGAGCAAACAGG
Molecule: ribosomal RNA, 253 nt
Filed under: uncultured bacterium
Lineage: Bacteria
Description: partial 16S ribosomal RNA
Rfam family: Bacterial small subunit ribosomal RNA
Source: RNAcentral